GAAGCACCUGAGGUCACAUUAAAUAAGAAAAGAACAAGAACUAGACAAAAUGUAUCUGAAGAAUUGAUUCUGGGAAGCAAAGACGAACCUGUCAGAACAAGAUCAACAUUUAAGGGAUAUGAAAAAACGCUUAUGGGACUAGUAUUUCUGAUAGAGCCAACACCUGUGAAGAAGCACUUCAAGACAAAUAAUGGGUUCUGGAAAUGAAAGAAGAACUUGAUCAAUUUGCAAAGAACGAUUUCUGGGAUCUUGUACCAAAACCCAAGGGAAC
This 271-nucleotide long non-coding RNA is filed under the name Lathyrus oleraceus (garden pea). RNAcentral's name for it is "Pisum sativum (pea) long non-coding RNA (PSAT_LNC009625)". The record is from RNAcentral. Lineage: Eukaryota; Viridiplantae; Streptophyta; Magnoliopsida; Fabales; Fabaceae.